This 420-nucleotide ribosomal RNA is filed under the name uncultured bacterium. RNAcentral describes it as "bacterial SSU rRNA". It matches the Rfam family "Bacterial small subunit ribosomal RNA", at positions 355 to 766 of the family's 1533-position model. The record is from RNAcentral.
UGGGGAAUAUUGCGCAAUGGGCGAAAGCCUGACGCAGCGACGCCGCGUGGGUGAUGAAGGCCUUCGGGUCGUAAAGCCCUGUCGGGAGGGAAGAAACAGUCUGGACCUAAUACGUCCGGGAAUUGACGGUACCUCCUAAGGAAGCACCGGCUAACUCCGUGCCAGCAGCCGCGGUAAUACGGAGGGUGCUAGCGUUGUUCGGAAUCACUGGGCGUAAAGGGCGUGUAGGCGGUUUGUUAAGUCUGAUGUGAAAUCCCCUCGCUCAACGAGGGAACUGCGUCGGAUACUGGAUGGCUUGAGGUUGGGAGAGGGAUGCGGAAUUCCAGGUGUAGCGGUGAAAUGCGUAGAGAUCGGGAAGAACAUCGGUGGCGAAGGCGGCUCGCUGGGCUGUUGCUGACGCUGAGGCGCGAAAGCGUGGGG